CAGUCGCCGCGGUAAUGCGUAGGUGGCAAGCGUUGUCCGGAAUUAUUGGGCGUAAAGGGCUCGCAGGCGGUUUCUUAAGUCUGAUGUGAAAGCCCCCGGCUCAACCGGGGAGGGUCAUUGGAAACUGGGAAACUUGAGUGCAGAAGAGGAGAGUGGAAUUCCACGUGUAGCGGUGAAAUGCGUAGAGAUGUGGAGGAACACCAGUGGCGAAGGCGACUCUCUGGACUGUAACUGACGCUGAGGAGCGAAAGCGUGGGGAGCGAACAGGAUUAGAUACCCCUGUAGUCCCUGUCUCUUAUAC
RNAcentral lists this ribosomal RNA (301 nucleotides) under uncultured bacterium. Its description in RNAcentral is "partial 16S ribosomal RNA". It matches the Rfam family "Bacterial small subunit ribosomal RNA", at positions 509 to 807 of the family's 1533-position model. The record is from RNAcentral.